This 472-nucleotide long non-coding RNA is filed under the name Lathyrus oleraceus (garden pea). RNAcentral's name for it is "Pisum sativum (pea) long non-coding RNA (PSAT_LNC034834)". Lineage: Eukaryota; Viridiplantae; Streptophyta; Magnoliopsida; Fabales; Fabaceae. The record is from RNAcentral.
CCUUGUCUUUUUUUCAUAACUAAGUAUAAGAAGUUGAACGAUCAUCUCAAAGUAGUAUAUGAAACAUUUCAGAAAUAUAUUUCAAUAACCAAUCUUAUUAAUAUAAUUAUUAUAAAUGAGAUGAAUGUUUCUCAAGUAUAAAAUGAUCGGUGUAAAUGUAAUACAACAUAAUCAAAGUUUUAACGCUUCAGAUUACUAGAUGGAGGGGUGCAACAUGGGGCCUUCUUACAAACAUAUGGGUCACAUGGCCCUAAUGGUUCACAGCAAGGUGGUAAAUCUUGUAAGUGCACUGCAAGAGCACUUUUCAUACCAACAAGAAGCACCAAAAACAACAAGAAAAAUUUCAAUAAAGAUUCCAUGAUAACUUAAUUUUGAUUUCAAAGAAAUGAAAAAUGGAUACUAAUAGUGAAUGAUAUGUUAAACAAAUGUGUACAGAUUUAUAGGUAAAAAAUAAUCUUUAGAAAAUACUUAA